RNAcentral lists this ribosomal RNA (730 nucleotides) under uncultured euryarchaeote. Its description in RNAcentral is "bacterial SSU rRNA". It matches the Rfam family "Archaeal small subunit ribosomal RNA", at positions 130 to 865 of the family's 1478-position model. Lineage: Archaea; Methanobacteriati; Methanobacteriota. The record is from RNAcentral.
ACCCGGGAAACUGGGGAUAAUACUCCAUAGGGUAGAGUGGCUGGAAUGCCUUCUACCCCAAAGUUCCGGCGCCUUAGGAUGGAUCUGCGGCCGAUUAGGUCGUUGUUGGGGUAACGGCCCAACAAGCCUGUAAUCGGUACGGGUUGUGGGAGCAAGAGCCCGGAGAUGGACUCUGAGACACGAGUCCAGGCCCUACGGGGCGCAGCAGGCGCGAAAACUUUACAAUGCGGGAAACCGUGAUAAGGGAACCCCGAGUGCCCGUACACGCGGGCUGUCCAGGUGUUUAAAACGCAUCUGAAGAAAGGGCCGGGCAAGACCGGUGCCAGCCGCCGCGGUAAUACCGGCGGCUCGAGUGGUGACCAUUUUUAUUGGGCUUAAAGCGUUCGUAGCUGGAUUGUUAAGUCUCUUGGGAAAUCUCACGGCUCAACCGUGAGGCGUCUAAGGGAUACUGGCAAUCUAGGGACCGGAAGAGGUGAGAGGUACUCCUGGGGUAGGAGUGAAAUCCUGUAAUCCUAGGGGGACCACCUGUGGCGAAGGCGUCUCACCAGGACGGCUCCGACAGUGAGGGACGAAAGCUGGGGGAGCAAACCGGAUUAGAUACCCGAGUAGUCCUGGCCGUAAACGCUGUGAUCUAGGUGUUGCACAUACUUCGAGUAUGUGCAGUGUCGAAGCGAAGGCAUUAAGAUCACCGCCUGGGAAGUACGGUCGCAAGACUGAAACUUAAAGGAAU